GAUGAACGCUGGCGGCGUGCCUAAUACAUGCAAGUCGAGCGAACGGACGAGAAGCUUGCUUCUCUGAUGUUAGCGGCGGACGGGUGAGUAACACGUGGAUAACCUACCUAUAAGACUGGGAUAACUUCGGGAAACCGUAGCUAAUACCGGAUAAUAUUUUGAACCGCAUGGUUCAAAAGUGAAAGACGGUCUUGCUGUCACUUAUAGAUGGAUCCGCGCUGCAUUAGCUAGUUGGUAAGGUAACGGCUUACCAAGGCAACGAUGCAUAGCCGACCUGAGAGGGUGAUCGGCCACACUGGAACUGAGACACGGUCCAGACUCCUACGGGAGGCAGCAGUAGGGAAUCGUCCGCAAUGGGCGAAAGCCUGACGGAGCAACGCCGCGUGAGUGAUGAAGGUCUUCGGAUCGUAAAACUCUGUUAUUAGGGAAGAACAUAUGUGUAAGUAACUGUGCACAUCUUGACGGUACCUAAUCAGAAAGCAACGGCUAACUACGUG
RNAcentral lists this ribosomal RNA (497 nucleotides) under uncultured bacterium. RNAcentral describes it as "partial 16S ribosomal RNA". It matches the Rfam family "Bacterial small subunit ribosomal RNA", at positions 28 to 507 of the family's 1533-position model. The record is from RNAcentral.